AGGAGCACCAAGGUCCAAGCACGACCGGGCAAAAUUGGUUCUCUUUAGUCUUUGCUCUAUUCUCGUUACACGACAAUGAGCAAAGAGGGGCAGCUGUAAGGCCCAAUAUUUGCCCGGCCCACAUACAUUGCAAAAAAACCAAAAAAUAAUAAACAAAAUUCAGUCUAUCAUAACAGUCCAUAUUACAAAGUUUGACCCAAAUAUCACCUAACCAUCAGCCCAAAUUACCAGCCCAAAAUUAAACCCAUUAGUCACUAACCCAAAAGACCCA
Molecule: long non-coding RNA, 271 nt
Filed under: Gossypium raimondii (Peruvian cotton)
Lineage: Eukaryota; Viridiplantae; Streptophyta; Magnoliopsida; Malvales; Malvaceae
Description: long non-coding RNA (GRAI_LNC000297)
Source: RNAcentral